This 495-nucleotide ribosomal RNA is filed under the name uncultured bacterium. Its description in RNAcentral is "partial 16S ribosomal RNA". It matches the Rfam family "Bacterial small subunit ribosomal RNA", at positions 28 to 507 of the family's 1533-position model. The record is from RNAcentral.
GACGAACGCUGGCGGCGUGCCUAAUACAUGCCAGUAGAACGCUGAAGGAGGAGCUUGCUUCUCUGGAUGAGUUGCGAACGGGUGAGUAACGCGUAGGUAACCUGCCUGUUAGUGGGGGAUAACUAUUGGAAACGAUAGCUAAUACCGCAUAAUAGCAGUUGUUGCAUGAUAACUGUUUGAAAGGUGCAAUCGCACCGCUACCAGAUGGACCUGCGUUGGAUUAGGUAGUUGGUGGGGUAACGGCUGAACAAGGCGACGAUACAUAGCCGACCGGGGAGGGGGAAUGGCCAAAAUGGGAAUGGAGAAAGGGCCAGAACCCUUAGGGAAGCAGCAGGAGGGGAACUUCGGCAAUGGACGGAAGGCUGAACGAGCAACGCCGCGGGAAGGAAGAAGGGUCUCGGAUCGGAAAGAUCCGUUGUAAGGGAAGAACGAGAGUGGGAGUGGAAAGUGCACACUGUGACGGUAUCUUACCAGAAAGGGACGGCUAACUACGUG